RNAcentral lists this ribosomal RNA (468 nucleotides) under uncultured bacterium. RNAcentral's name for it is "partial 16S ribosomal RNA". It matches the Rfam family "Bacterial small subunit ribosomal RNA", at positions 28 to 507 of the family's 1533-position model. The record is from RNAcentral.
GACGAACGCUGGCGGCGUGCUUAACACAUGCAAGUCGAACGGAAAGGCCCUGCUUUUGUGGGGUGCUCGAGUGGCGAACGGGUGAGUAACACGUGAGUAACCUGCCCUUGACUUUGGGAUAACUUCAUGAAACUGGGGCUAAUACCGGAUAGGAGCUCCUGCUGCAUGGUGGGGGUUGGAAAGUUUCGGCGGUUGGGGAUGGACUCGCGGCUUAUCAGCUUGUUGGUGGGGUAGUGGCUUACCAAGGCUUUGACGGGUAGCCGGCCUGAGCGGGUGACCGGCCACAUUGGGACUGAGAUACGGCCCAGACUCCUACGGGAGGCAGCAGUGGGGAAUAUUGCACAAUGGGCGGAAGCCUGAUGCAGCAACGCCGCGUGCGGGAUGACGGCCUUCGGGUUGUAAACCGCUUUCGCCUGUGACGAAGCGUGAGUGACGGUAAUGGGUAAAGAAGCACCGGCUAACUACGUG